Long non-coding RNA from Phascolarctos cinereus (koala), 669 nucleotides. RefSeq lists it as uncharacterized. Lineage: Eukaryota; Metazoa; Chordata; Mammalia; Diprotodontia; Phascolarctidae. The record is from RefSeq and is a predicted model, not a curated record.
AGGGGACUGAGGAGGUGUGGAAGGAGGGAACUGCAGGGCCAGAGGAGAACUGCAUGCAGGGUCUGCCCAUUCCCACUUUGGCGGUUGGUCUAUCUGCAUCUGGGUUGUCUGUUUUAGGAUGAAGGCAGGAAAUAGUAUGCUGGAGUAAAUCUCUGCAGCCAAUACCUAGCAUCCAGCCAUCAGAAAUGGUGUCUUAAGAGGCAAUGUGCAAGAAUGAAUGAAGCAUUGAUUAAGCACUUUUGUUGCUGAAGCUCUGAGGAGGAAAAGGAGUUUCAGGUGCUGAAGUGAUCUUCUGGGGACUGGGGAGUUCACCCUGAUUGCAGUUGAGAUGGUAUAGACAGCCAGUCCUGCAUGGAAACCCUGAGAAUCCAGGGUGCCUGGGACUCGAGCCUGAGAUGGAUGUUGGACUUGGAACAGAAGACUGUGCUGCAUGGGAAAAGAGCUCAGCUAUGAAGAGAAUCCUCUUCCCCUCCCCAGAGCCUGAUGUGGUGCAGGGGGAGUGGUACAUUUGUAUAUUUGUGAUCAAAUCUUUUGAAGUCACUAUUUCUUUGUAAAAAGUCCAGUGUUACAUAAUGUGACACAAAGCAGAGGCAGCACAAUCUGUGAAUUACAACUAUGUAUAAAAAAGAAAACAAGGCUAAACAUACUAAAUUUUCUUUGGUUAUAAAA